Molecule: ribosomal RNA, 910 nt
Filed under: uncultured bacterium
Lineage: Bacteria
Description: bacterial SSU rRNA
Rfam family: Bacterial small subunit ribosomal RNA
Source: RNAcentral
UGGCUCAGAACGAACGCUGGCGGCGCGCCUAAUACAUGCAAGUCGAGCGAGAAGACGUAGCAAUACGUUUGUAAAGCGGCGAACGGGUGAGGAAUACAUGGGUAACCUACCCUCGAGUGGGGAAUAACUAGCCGAAAGGUUAGCUAAUACCGCGUACGCUUCUUGGACUUCGGUUCAGGGAGGAAAGCGAUACCGUGGGUAUCGCGCUCUUGGAUGGGCUCAUGUCCUAUCAGCUUGUUGGUGAGGUAACGGCUCACCAAGGCUUCGACGGGUAGCUGGUCUGAGAGGACGAUCAGCCACACUGGCACUGCGACACGGGCCAGACUCCUACGGGAGGCAGCAGUAAGGAAUAUUGCGCAAUGGGCGAAAGCCUGACGCAGCGACGCCGCGUGGGGGAUGAAGGUCUUCGGAUUGUAAACCCCUUUCGGGAGGGAAGAUGGAACGAGCAAUCGUUCGGACGGUACCUCCAGAAGCAGCCACGGCUAACUUCGUGCCAGCAGCCGCGGUAAUACGAAGGUGGCAAGCGUUGUUCGGAUUUACUGGGCGUACAGGGAGCGUAGGCGGUUCGGUAAGCCCUCUGUGAAAUCUCCAGGCUUAACCUGGAACAGUCGGAGGGGACUGCCGGGCUAGAGGACGGGAGAGGAGCGCGGAAUUCCCGGUGUAGCGGUGAAAUGCGUAUAGAUCGGGAGGAAGGCCGGUGGCGAAGGCGGCGCUCUGGAACGUUUCUGACGCUGAGGCUCGAAAGCGUGGGGAGCAAACAGGGUUAGAUACCCUGGUAGUCCACGCCUUAAACUAUGAAUACUAAGUGUCGGCGGGUUACCGCCGGUGCCGCAGCUAACGCAUUAACGUAUUCCCGCCUGGGAAGUACGGGCCGCAUCGUUCGACACUCAGAAGGACUUGACGGGGGGCC